GGUAGAACAAUAACAUAGUGAAAGCACACAACUAUAUGCUCCGGAAUCUUAACCGAAAAACUUUUCAGCAUCGCCGACAAGACCCUGACGAUUUCCUGUUAACACGUUAAAUAUCACACUAAAAGCCGUAGCCACCUUCUGAGCCGUAGCCACCUUCUUCGGGUCUCGCACCUUUCUUUUCCCCUUUCCCAUUUUAUUCAUCCUAUUCACAUGGGAAGGAAACUUUUCUCUAAUAGUCUGAAAAGGAUCACUUUACAAGCCACAUGGUGAAACAUAAGCCCAUCCAUCUACCUUAGAGCAAAGAUUCUCAUUCAUGCAAUGCAAACACUUUGCAGGGGCCACCUUGUGUAGGUUCAUUGUAAGACCAUCAAAAGCUUCCAAGGUGG
Molecule: long non-coding RNA, 386 nt
Filed under: Helianthus annuus (common sunflower)
Lineage: Eukaryota; Viridiplantae; Streptophyta; Magnoliopsida; Asterales; Asteraceae
Description: sRNA HanXRQr2_Chr16g0736181
Source: RNAcentral